RNAcentral lists this ribosomal RNA (450 nucleotides) under uncultured bacterium. Its description in RNAcentral is "partial 16S ribosomal RNA". It matches the Rfam family "Bacterial small subunit ribosomal RNA", at positions 354 to 796 of the family's 1533-position model. The record is from RNAcentral.
GUGGGGAAUUUUGGACAAUGGGCGCAAGCCUGAUCCAGCAAUGCCGCGUGCAGGAUGAAGGCCUUCGGGUUGUAAACUGCUUUUGUACGGAACGAAAAGCCCUGGGUUAAUACCCUGGGGUCAUGACGGUACCGUAAGAAUAAGCACCGGCUAACUACGUGCCAGCAGCCGCGGUAAUACGUAGGGUGCGAGCGUUAAUCGGAAUUACUGGGCGUAAAGCGUGCGCAGGCGGUUUUGUAAGACAGAGGUGAAAUCCCCGGGCUCAACCUGGGAACUGCCUUUGUGACUGCAAGGCUAGAGUACGGCAGAGGGGGAUGGAAUUCCGCGUGUAGCAGUGAAAUGCGUAGAUAUGCGGAGGAACACCGAUGGCGAAGGCAAUCCCCUGGGCCUGUACUGACGCUCAUGCACGAAAGCGUGGGGAGCAAACAGGAUUAGAAACCCCUGUAGUCC